GCAGUCGAGCGAGCUUGCCUAGAUGAUUUUAGUGCUUGCACUAAAUGAAACUAGAUACAAGCGAGCGGCGGACGGGUGAGUAACACGUGGGUAACCUGCCCAAGAGACUGGGAUAACACCUGGAAACAGAUGCUAAUACCGGAUAACAACACUAGACGCAUGUCUAGAGUUUGAAAGAUGGUUCUGCUAUCACUCUUGGAUGGACCUGCGGUGCAUUAGCUAGUUGGUAAGGUAACGGCUUACCAAGGCAAUGAUGCAUAGCCGAGUUGAGAGACUGAUCGGCCACAUUGGGACUGAGACACGGCCCAAACUCCUACGGGAGGCAGCAGUAGGGAAUCUUCCACAAUGGACGAAAGUCUGAUGGAGCAACGCCGCGUGAGUGAAGAAGGGUUUCGGCUCGUAAAGCUCUGUUGGUAGUGAAGAAAGAUAGAGGUAGUAACUGGCCUUUAUUUGACGGUAAUUACUUAGAAAGUCACGGCUAACUACGUGCCAGCAGCCGCGGUAAUACGUAGGUGGCAAGCGUUGUCCGGAUUUAUUGGGCGUAAAGCGAGUGCAGGCGGUUCAAUAAGUCUGAUGUGAAAGCCUUCGGCUCAACCGGAGAAUUGCAUCAGAAACUGUUGAACUUGAGUGCAGAAGAGGAGAGUGGAACUCCAUGUGUAGCGGUGGAAUGCGUAGAUAUAUGGAAGAACACCAGUGGCGAAGGCGGCUCUCUGGUCUGCAACUGACGCUGAGGCUCGAAAGCAUGGGUAGCGAACAGGAUUA
RNAcentral lists this ribosomal RNA (762 nucleotides) under uncultured bacterium. RNAcentral describes it as "bacterial SSU rRNA". It matches the Rfam family "Bacterial small subunit ribosomal RNA", at positions 57 to 780 of the family's 1533-position model. The record is from RNAcentral.